RNAcentral lists this ribosomal RNA (497 nucleotides) under uncultured bacterium. RNAcentral's name for it is "partial 16S ribosomal RNA". It matches the Rfam family "Bacterial small subunit ribosomal RNA", at positions 28 to 507 of the family's 1533-position model. The record is from RNAcentral.
GAUGAACGCUGGCGGCGUGCCUAAUACAUGCAAGUCGAGCGAACAGACGAGGAGCUUGCUCCUCUGACGUUAGCGGCGGACGGGUGAGUAACACGUGGAUAACCUACCUAUAAGACUGGGAUAACUUCGGGAAACCGGAGCUAAUACCGGAUAAUAUAUUGAACCGCAUGGUUCAAUAGUGAAAGACGGUUUUGCUGUCACUUAUAGAUGGAUCCGCGCCGCAUUAGCUAGUUGGUAAGGUAACGGCUUACCAAGGCAACGAUGCGUAGCCGACCUGAGAGGGUGAUCGGCCACACUGGAACAGAGACACGGUCCAGACUCCUACGGGAGGCAGCAGUAGGGACUCUUCCGCAAUGGGCGAAAGCCGGACGGAGCAACGCCGCGGGAGUGAUGAAGGUCUUCGGAUCGUAAAACUCUGUUAUUAGGGAAGAACAAAUGUGUAAGUAACUAUGCACGUCUUGACGGUACCUAAUCAGAAAGCCACGGCUAACUACGUG